Molecule: non-coding RNA, 26 nt
Filed under: Rattus norvegicus (Norway rat)
Lineage: Eukaryota; Metazoa; Chordata; Mammalia; Rodentia; Muridae
Source: RNAcentral
UAACAGGUCAUGUGUACGCCAUACAG